This 403-nucleotide ribosomal RNA is filed under the name uncultured bacterium. RNAcentral's name for it is "bacterial SSU rRNA". It matches the Rfam family "Bacterial small subunit ribosomal RNA", at positions 976 to 1380 of the family's 1533-position model. The record is from RNAcentral.
UGGUCUUGACAUGUACGGAAUCCUCCAGAGAGGGAGGAGUGCCUUCGGGAGCCGUAACACAGGUGCUGCAUGGCUGUCGACAGCUCGUGUCGUGAGAUGUUGGGUUAAGUCCCGCAACGAGCGCAACCCCUAUUGCUAGUUGCCAUCAUUAGGUUGGGAACUCUAGCAAGACUGCCUGCGAAGAGCAGGAGGAAGGUGGGGAUGACGUCAAGUCCUCAUGGCCCUUAUGACCAGGGCUUCACACGUCAUACAAUGGUCGGUACAGAGGGUAGCCAAGCCGCGAGGUGGAGCCAAUCUCACAAAACCGAUCGUAGUCCGGAUUGCACUCUGCAACUCGAGUGCAUGAAGUCGGAAUCGCUAGUAAUCGCAGGUCAGCAUACUGCGGUGAAUACGUGCCCGGGUC